RNAcentral lists this small RNA (116 nucleotides) under Marmota monax (woodchuck). Lineage: Eukaryota; Metazoa; Chordata; Mammalia; Rodentia; Sciuridae. The record is from RNAcentral.
GCUGAGUAUAGUGGCAUAUGCUUAUAAUCCCAGCUACUCUGAAGGCUGAGAUAGGAAGUUUACUGAGCCCAGGAGAUUGAGACCAGCCUGGGUAACAUAGCAAGGCCUUUUCUCAA